Pongo pygmaeus (Bornean orangutan) is the source of this 2486-nucleotide long non-coding RNA. RefSeq lists it as uncharacterized. The record is from RefSeq and is a predicted model, not a curated record. The transcript has 2 exons. Lineage: Eukaryota; Metazoa; Chordata; Mammalia; Primates; Hominidae.
GUCCCAGGGUGGGUGAACACAGGAGGCAUGGAAGCCCUCACCCCCAAGGAGGCUUUGUUACUAAGGUCAGUGGACCUGCAACCCCAGAGCCCCACCUGCAGGCUGGGUGGGGUUCAAGGGAGAAAAAGGGAAACCUGGAGGACCCCCAUGCCCCUGCCCCAGUUAUGGGCCCUGGACCCCCAACUGCCGUGGAGAACUGAAGGGAGGCCAUAGGGACAGCAGCGUUGUGCAAGGGGAAAGGCUGAAGCACCAGUGCAGCUUCACCAGGCCACUGACUGUGGGCAAGAGAUGUAAUGGAAACUCAGUUUUCUCAUCUGUGAAAGGGGAAUAAUAUCGCCUCGUGGGAUGGCACUGAGGGUCAAAUGCAAUAAUAGAGGUGGCCCAUUUUGAACCUGGAAAUUGCCAUAGGGAGGUAAUAGAUGAUUAGUGUAGAGACACAAGGCCAAAGGCUGCUUCUUAGAUUCUUGUUUCCAGUUACUAUAAAAGAUCCCUUUGCAAGGACACCGUGUGGUUCUCAAUUUUGGCCCCUGGUGUCUAGAACAAGGUAGGGGGAGGUGCAGAGGCCAGAGGGAUUCCUGAAUCUUAGUCCCUAAGCACAAGCAGAAGAGACUGAUGCCUGCCUGCCUCCAGCUGAUUCCCCAGGGACAUACCCCUCUUCAUUUCUCCUGCACCUCCUCACCUUCCAUGAAUCCAGACCAUGCCCCACCCCUCCUCCUGAGACCCCGCCCUCCAUCUCCCGGCCUCUCUAGGGUGCAGGGCAGAGGAAGUGAGUCUACUCAGCUGACCAGAGAAAGUGCUGCAGCUGCCUACACAGGGUGGGCCGACUGCUGGCUUGUUCAGGGCCUGUGAUAACUCCCUUGCCUCAGGCCUCCCCAGCCCCUGCUGGGACCACUGGCCCAGGAGGAAGGCUGGGCUCUGGCUGCCACCUGCUUCCUCUCAGGAGUUCUUCUCCCUCCCAAGCAUGGAUUUGCAUUCCCCCCUCUGCCUUCUGCUACUCAAGCCCCCAGGGAUGAGGUGACAGUUAACCCUCCACUUCCUGCUAGUGGCCCCAGAGCGCUCACUUCCUUCCAGGGAGGAGGCUUGCGCUUCAGAAGGAGAGAAGCCAAACUACUGAGCAAGACAACAAGGAGAGAUCUUAAGAUGCUAUGCACUCAGAACUUCGGCAGCCAGAAUGGGACUGAAACUUUGACAGACACAAUGGGCCAAUGGGCAGGACAUAGCUCUCAUGGCCACCCUCAUAGCCAUGGAAAGCAUGGCAGCGGUACCAGGACCGCCCACUCCCAGGGAACUGUGAACCAAGUUCUUGUCUUAGUUUCUUUGGGUUCCCAGUAGAGGAUGGGACUCCAGCACCUUUCUGCCUGUCUGGGUUGCUGAGUGGCACCACCUGCAUGUUCAAGUACCGGAGACAGCAAGAAAGCUAAUUCAGCAGCAGCUCCCAGGGAGAGCCCACUUGGCAGUCUGUAGAAUCCAGCAAGGAAAACAGGCCACCCUUCCCCCACAAGCAUCAAUGCCUAUGCUAUGUGUUUUGCUUCCUGUGAGACUGUCAGUUAGGGCCCAGUUCAGUGUGGGGCUGAGGCAGCCUGAAUGUGGUUAUUUGUGCAAGCUCCUCUUGCCUCCCCUCCCCACAACUGUUUCCAUUCUCACCAAGCAGCCACGUCCGGGUCAGACACCCAGGACAGCAGCUGGGGCUUUCCAAGGGACUUUUUGAGAAGCUAGUGAAAGUUGGGUGUUGGCUGCACAGCCUGGGCACUUGCUGAAACGCACGUCUUCCAUCUAGGACGUAAGCUCUAGCCUGGCAGGGUUGCUUUCAGGUUGAAAUUGAACAGAAAUCACCACCCAUGGAGCUUUCUGUUUGCUGGGCUGGGGAAAUCCUUGAGAAACUCAGUUUGGAGUUGGGGUUAUCUGACUAUUCCCUCAGAGCUUGAAGGCACCAGAGAAAAUGGUUUUGGUUUGAAGACCAUGAGUGGACAUGAGCAGCCCAGCCAGUCCCAGUUUCCCUCCCGUAGGCCUAUGCGAGGACAAGGAAGGGGAGCAGACAAACUAAUCAGAGUCAGGUCAGCAUCUCUCCUCCUUCCCACACUCUCCAGGCCACAGGUAACAAGCAAAAUCAACUCAAGAGCAACACCAGGUGGCUGAGACACAAAGCCCUAGCACAGGCAGCUCUGCCCUAGCACAGCACAGCUCACCCUGCAGUUGUGGUUCUCAGCAUUUCCCAUACUAUUUUGGCUGAUCGUGCACAUAUUCUAUGUAUUGAAAAAUGGCCCAAAAAGGAGAGCAAAAGGAUGUCACCUUUAUAAUACUUAUAUAAUUUUCACAUAGCUUCGUUUCUACAAUCACAACAAUCCUGAGGUAAACAGGCAGGGUGUAAUCAUUCUCUUUUUAGAGGGCGAACAAGGAACUUAGGGAAAUCAAAAUGGGGAUACUAACAGGAUUUCUAUGGAAAUUUAAAUGAGAAUUUGUGGUAAAUUUUUUUAUCCUAAAACAAC